RNAcentral lists this ribosomal RNA (253 nucleotides) under uncultured bacterium. Its description in RNAcentral is "partial 16S ribosomal RNA". It matches the Rfam family "Bacterial small subunit ribosomal RNA", at positions 524 to 776 of the family's 1533-position model. The record is from RNAcentral.
UACAGAGACUGCAAGCGUUGUUCGGAAUCACUGGGCGUAAAGGGCGCGUAGGCGGCCGAUCAAGUCGGGGGUGAAAGCCUGUGGCUCAACCACAGAAUUGCCUUCGAUACUGUUUGGCUUGAGACCGGAAGAGGUUAGUGGAACUGCGAGUGUAGAGGUGAAAUUCGUAGAUAUUCGCAAGAACACCAGUGGCGAAGGCGGCUGACUGGUCCGGUUCUGACGCUGAGGCGCGAAAGCGUGGGGAGCAAACAGG